CGAGCCACCGAAUUGACACAACGUCCUGCAGCGAUGUUGUGCGACCUGCAGUGUCAACAUUCGGUGGAUCU
This is a small RNA of 71 nucleotides. It matches the Rfam family "bZIP non canonical Hac1/Xbp1 intron". From Rfam's summary of the family: bZIP intron RNA is a non-canonical intron that was first reported in HAC1 gene in yeast and XBP1 gene in Metazoa. The record is from Rfam.